GUACCAAAAACAUAGCCAAAAUAAAUUUUUGAUGGGAUCUGGUCAGUGGAAAUAUAUAAACUUAAAAUAUUUUUAAACACACGCCUUAGCGUGAGGGUGGUAAUGUAGCAUAAUCAGUUGGCAUUUAAUUGAUGUCUAGUAGGAAUGGUGAAACGAUUUUAUAUUUGUCUCAAAUUUUCAAAGRUUAAAAUUUAGAUAUACAGUCAAGAUACUGUARCCGAAUUAACAGACGAGAAGACCCCAUAAACCUUUACUAUAAAUUUUAUUGAAUUCAAAAAUUAAUUAAUGAAAACUUUAAUAAAUUUUGGUAGUUUAGCUGGGGCGGCAAUCUUCUAAAAUAAUGAACGAAGAGAUAACUUUGAUUAUAUUAAAUUAUAAUUUAUUGUUUUUGUUUAAAUUAAUAUUUUAACAUUAUUAAAAAUGAUAAUUUGACCUCUUUUUCAGAAAAAAUCAUUAAUUAAUAAAAGGUACUUUGGGGAUAACAGCGUUAUCUAAAAAUAGAGAUGAAAUUAAUUUUUAGGUUUGCGACCUCGAUGUUGAAUUGAGAUACCCCGAAAAUGCAGAAGUUUUCAAAGGUUGGAUUGUUCAUCCAUUAAAAUCUUACAUGAUUUGAGU
RNAcentral lists this ribosomal RNA (615 nucleotides) under Rhopalonema velatum. RNAcentral's name for it is "partial 16S ribosomal RNA". It matches the Rfam family "Bacterial large subunit ribosomal RNA", at positions 1804 to 2610 of the family's 2925-position model. Lineage: Eukaryota; Metazoa; Cnidaria; Hydrozoa; Trachymedusae; Rhopalonematidae. The record is from RNAcentral.